Molecule: ribosomal RNA, 301 nt
Filed under: uncultured bacterium
Lineage: Bacteria
Description: partial 16S ribosomal RNA
Rfam family: Bacterial small subunit ribosomal RNA
Source: RNAcentral
CAGCAGCCGCGGGAAUACAGAGGGUGCGAGCGUUAAUCGGAUUUACUGGGCGUAAAGCGUGCGUAGGCGGCUUUUUAAGUCGGAUGUGAAAUCCCUGAGCUUAACUUAGGAAUUGCAUUCGAUACUGGAAAGCUAGAGUAUGGGAGAGGAUGGUAGAAUUCCAGGUGUAGCGGUGAAGUGUGUAGAGAUCUGGAGGAAUACCGAUGGCGAAGGCAGCCAUCUGGCCUAAUACUGACGCUGAGGUACGAAAGCAUGGGGAGCAAACAGGAUUAGAUACCCCUGUAGUCCCUGUCUCUUAUAC